CGACAUCACCGAAACCAAUCUCUUCCCUUUGUCCUUUUGUGAAGCUGCUCAAUGUCACCGGAUCAUUGCCUCCUCCGGCGAACUACUCCGGUGAACUCUCCCUUCUCCGGCUAACACCAUUGUUCUCGUCGGCAAUCAACUCCAGCUGCGUUUAUGCUCAAUCAUUCUCGGCGUUCUAGCUCCUCCGUGAAUUUGAGACAUCAACUUCAUCUUCUUCAAUCAAAGAAACGCAGCUCCUUCGAUGAGGCUUCUCCUUUGAAUCUCAUCAUUGCUUCCUCUCCAACUCCCAGGUGAUGAGCUCCACCUUGUCAUCACCAGCACAAUUCAUUGCUUCUCUCUUGAGAUCAUGUUCAACCUUUGGAACUCCACCUGGAACUUGUAACUCCAACACAGUUCCAGUACUUAACAGACUGUUGGAGUUACAUGUGGCCACUGCUCCUGUUCACCGGAUGUUGAGAAGCUCAUAGUAGAACUGGAACUUCUGGCCAGCCCCUAUGACUUCAUUUAACCUCAAGGUAUCUCUACCAUACUUCAGAGUCUCCUUGAGUUGAUCAUACCUCUCAGAUAGUGAGCUCAACAACAUGAUUGCUUGAACCUCUUUUGUAACUUCCACUCCUAUGUUGUUCAGGAUCAACACUUGGAGACAACCCAAAACCUCCACUUGUGCCCGUUUGAGAGUCUUGUUGAGCUGUUGUAGCUUCUGCUUCUACAGUAGGUGGGUCUUUUAGCAGCUGUUCAUCAUUCAAGAUCUCUUUCAGGCCUAGGACACCAAAGUUAGCCAACAUUCUGACCUUCCACAAGGAGAAGUCACCUGUUCCAUCAAACCUGUCCACCUCGACCCGAGUGUUGCUCAUUUUAUUUCGCACAAGAAGAACAAGGAUCACCAAUACAACAAUGGAGGAAGAAGAAAGCUUGAAGAAUAAGAAAAACUGUCUCGUUUCUCUUGUUUUUCACUUUUUCUAGAAAGCUCUUUUGUAUAUCUUGUCUCACCUACCUCCACUCUCCCAUAUCUUUGUAGAUAUUUUAAGUGAACCAAAUGGAUCACAUUAUUCCUUCUUAUGUCAUUUUUGU
Molecule: long non-coding RNA, 1071 nt
Organism: Camelina sativa (false flax)
Lineage: Eukaryota; Viridiplantae; Streptophyta; Magnoliopsida; Brassicales; Brassicaceae
Source: RefSeq, a predicted model, not a curated record